RNAcentral lists this ribosomal RNA (402 nucleotides) under uncultured bacterium. RNAcentral describes it as "bacterial SSU rRNA". It matches the Rfam family "Bacterial small subunit ribosomal RNA", at positions 30 to 430 of the family's 1533-position model. The record is from RNAcentral.
AUUAAACGCUGGCGGCAUGCCUUACACAUGCAAGUCGAACGGCAGCACGGGGGCAACCCUGGUGGCGAGUGGCGGACGGGUGAGUAAAGCAUCGGAACGUAUCCUGGAGUGGGGGAUAACGUAGCGAAAGUUACGCUAAUACCGCAUAUUCUGUGAGCAGGAAAGCAGGGGAUCGCAAGACCUUGCGCUCUGGGAGCGGCCGAUAUCGGAUUAGCUAGUUGGUGGGGUAAAGGCCUACCAAGGCGACGAUCCGUAGCGGGUCUGAGAGGAUGAUCCGCCACACUGGGACUGAGACACGGCCCAGAUUCCUACGGGAGGCAGCAGUGGGGAAUUUUGGACAAUGGGCGCAAGCCUGAUCCAGCCAUUCCGCGUGAGUGAAGAAGGCCUUCGGGUUGGUUAAAG